This 1463-nucleotide ribosomal RNA is filed under the name uncultured Bordetella sp. Its description in RNAcentral is "partial 16S-23S ribosomal RNA intergenic spacer". It matches the Rfam family "Bacterial small subunit ribosomal RNA". The record is from RNAcentral. Lineage: Bacteria; Pseudomonadati; Pseudomonadota; Betaproteobacteria; Burkholderiales; Alcaligenaceae.
GGUUCGAUCAUGGCUCAGAUUGAACGCUGGCGGGAUGCUUUACACAUGCAAGUCGAACGGCAGCACGGACUUCGGUCUGGUGGCGAGUGGCGAACGGUGAGUAAUGUAUCGGAACGUGCCUAGUAGCAGGGGAUAACUACGCAGCGUAGCUAAUACCGCAUACGCCCUUCGGGGGAAAGCGGGGACCUUCGGGCCUCGCACUAUUAGAGCGGCCGAUAUCGGAUUAGCUAGUUGGUGGGAAUAACGGCUCACCAGGCGACGAUCCGUAGCUGGUUUUGAGAGGACGACCAACCGCAUCUGGGGACUGAGACACGGCCCAGACUCCUACGGGGAGGCAGCAGUGGGGAAUUUUGGACAAUGGGGAAGCCCUGAUCCAGCCAUCCCGCGUGUGCGAUGAGGCCUUCGGGUUGUAAAGCACUUUUGGCAGGAAGAGCGGCACGGGAUAAUACCCCGUGCAACUGACAAUGCCUGCAGAAUAGCACCGGCUAACUACGUGCCGGCAAGCCGCGGUAAUACGUAGGGUGCAAGCGUUAAUGGAAUUACUGGGCGUAAAGCGUACCGCGGGCGGUUCGGAAGAAGAUGUGAAAUCCCAGAGCUUAACUUUGGAACUGCAUUUUUAACUACCGAGCUAGAGAGUGUGUCAGAGGGAGGUGGAAUUCCGCGUGUAGCAGUGAAAUGCGUAGAUAUGCGGAGGAACACCGAUGGCGAAGCAGCCUCCUGGGAUAACACUGACGCUCAUGCGAAAACGUGGGAGCAAACGAGUUAGAUACCCUGGUAGUCCACGCCCUAAACGAUGUCAACUAGCUGUUGGGGCCUUCGGGCCUUGGUAGCGCAGCUAACGCGUGAAGUUGACCGCCUGGGGAGAUACGGUCGCAAGAUUAAAACUCAAAGGAAUUGACGGGGACCCACACAAGCGGUGGAUGAUGGAUUAAUUCGAUGCAACGCGAAAAACCUUACCUACCCUUGACUAUGCAUCUGGAAUCCCGAAGAGAUUUGGGAGUGCUCGCAAGAGAACCGGAACACGGUGCUGUGGCUGUCGUCAGCUCGUGUCGUGAAGAGAUGUUGGGUUGGUCCGCAGCAGGGCGCAGCCUUGUCAUUAGUUGCUACGAAGGGCACUCUAAUGAGACUGCCGGUGACAAACCGGAGGAAGGUGGGGAUGACGUCAAGUCCUCAUGGCUCAUGGGUAGGGCUUCACGUCGCGCAAUGGUCGGGACAGAGGUCGCCAACCAGGAGGCCAAUCCCAGAAACCCGAUCGUAGUCCGGAUCGCAGUCUGCAACUCGACUGCGUGAAGUCGGAAUCGCUAGUAAUCGCGGAUCAGCAUGUCGCGGUGAAUACGUUCCCGGGUCUUGUACACACCGCCCCGUCACACCAUGGGAGUGGGACACCAGAAGUAGUUAACCUAACAAUAAGGAGGCGUUAAAUGUGAGAUUCAUGACUGGGGGUGAAGUCGUAACAAAGGUAA